Molecule: long non-coding RNA, 1862 nt
Organism: Drosophila ficusphila
Lineage: Eukaryota; Metazoa; Arthropoda; Insecta; Diptera; Drosophilidae
Exons: 8
Source: RefSeq, a predicted model, not a curated record
AAAAGAAAAAGUGCAUGAGGUCCAAGAGGUUAGAUCGAAGUUAUCAAGAAGGCCAAAAAUUUUCAAAAAUUAUAGAAAAAAUUUCAUGAAAAAUUCAAUCCCGGAGAGGAUCUUGGAGCUAAUUUUCUUGGACAAGUGGAAAGAGGAGACACCCCCAAAAGAAGAGGGCAAAUUUUUUUGUAAAGAAAAAACUGGCCACUCACUGCUGGGUGGCCCCCAGGUUUUUGGAGCUUAGCUAUUUAGUUAUUAAAACUAAUUAGAAUUAAGUAAACAAAAGCAGAAACCCAAAUUGCCGCUAGCUCAGUGAUCUCAUUUGGGCCAAGUUCACCCCAAUUGCCCGCAGUCCGACAACAUAAAAUACUAACAUCGAUUACGGUCGUCUCACAACACUAAACUCUCUGCGAUCACUAACAAAAUGUAAACAAACAAAGAGAGGUAAACAUUCAAAUACAAGGCGGCGGAAAUUUGGAUCUUUGGGUGGCCAUCGGUGUUAUUGGCCACUGCGUACCCACCCAACCUAGGAUGCCCGAAUCAAUCAACCGCCGUAUCAGUAUAUUUAGCGGUCAAAGCUAAAUUUAAGAACAAGGAAUGGACACUCUCCGACAAAAAUGUUCUGCCACCCUUGUAUCGGCAGAACUCUCUGGGUUACGCGGCUUAAAUUAAGGUCACCUAAUCCUGAGGAGCUCCAAGGGAAAAGGAGGGACGCCGAAAGCAACCGUCGAUCAAGGGUGAAUCUUUGGAAGGACGCACAAUAGACUUAACAAUAUAAGGAAGUGGUGGGUUUGGGCUCGGCCCACCAGGAAAUCGCACCACCAGGAACUCGGAGGCUUAUGGAAUUUGGCUGGCCAACCUCGUGGUACCAACCGCUCGCGAGGAAAACUGGCCACUAUCGGAGGCACCACGACACGGAACGGACUCACCGGAGAUCUGGAGUCCGAGAAUGUUGACUGGGUCGCUGAUGAUUCCCUCACUCUUGCGUAAGCCGACUUCGUUUCCUCCAGAAAAAUUAUUUGUACGAAAACGGCGUAUCUUCCAAAUUGAUUAUCUCCAAUCAGGGAAAAUGUGGAUCUCCUCCAAAAUAAAUUAUACUGAGGCUACUCCAAAAUGAACGUGGUACUCGCAAUAAUAUGUAGCUUCUCCAAAAAUAUAUUAUGUAAUCCAAAAAAGCUCCUCCUGGAAUCGACUCCAACUGCAACAUCAACCAAGGAUUUCGAGAGGUGCUACAACGAGGUUUUGCGAAACGACGAAAUACUUGGUAGCUUUGGAGGAGACCAGGAAUACAGGCAGUUCGUACGGCGCCCAACGCGGGGCCCACGCUUGCCGGGAAGUUUUGCGAUCGAUUUUCGUGCUCUCGUUUAAUUUGUGUACCCAUUUCAGCUCACAACUGGAUGUCUGUGCCGUGGUACCCCGCCAGACUGCGACUCUGGACUGACGAACGUGGCACCACUCCUUGGCUCGACCGCUCCUACUGUGGGGAGAUGAAAUCAACGUCGCCGGUGGACUUCCGACCAUAGUACGCCUACGCAUCGCCAAAAAUCUUCCUAAUUUCCGCCCCUCUCGCAGCCGCUCGUCAACUGGUCUAGCUAUCACUUUAAGUGAUAGCUGCCAGUUAAGGACUCCAGCCGCUCCUGGACUGCUGUUGGUUUUCUUCCUCAUCUGCAGUUUCCAUCGCAAAUCGAGGGACUCGUGCAUCGCGUGUACUUUCAACGGGCCACGAGUACCAAUUAAGUUGUUAAAACCGACAGGAAAUUGGAAACCCACAGACGGAAGAAAAACCCAGGAAUCCACCUCAAAUUACUCUCAGACAACAAAAAAUAUAUACAAAUAAAUAAAUUAAUGGCGCCCAAUUUAAAAAAAAAAAA